AGAGAAAACUUCCCGGAGCGAUGUCUGGAAACAUCAAACCACCUGCUGGCCAAGCCAUACCAGGUCCGCAAAGGGCUCCAUCUAAAAAUGAAAAGAAGAACAACGUCCCCGAGGACUUUGACAUUGACAUGCAGGACCCAGAGACGCAGAGAGCUGCAGUAGCCAUCCAGUCGCAGUUCAGGAAAUUCCAGAAAAAGAAGCAGGAUGUGAAGUCAUAGAGCAAAUGUCAGGAGACUUAUUACCCUCCUGAUCCGGUCUUGGUUUUGCAUGUCAAUCAAACCGCACUGUCAAAAGCUGGGAGGAGAGAAGGCAGGUAGAGGUGGGUUUGGAAGGAUGGGCUAAAAAAGGCUUCUGUGAAACUCUUUGUACAUCAAUACGUUUGUUAUAAGCAUAAAUUCUAGUAAAUAAAGAUGUUCUGCUAUUUAAAAACUCAUGAUAAAAGUAUUGUGUAUGAAAAUGUUUCCUUCUCUUUAGUUAUCUGUUUACCUUCAGGGACACUUCAGGGUGUUGGCGCUUCAGAAGCUCUAAAUUAGUCACUUCUGUUAAGCCAGAUUUAUUCCAUUAGAACCAUGUAGGCCAAAGAUGUCAUUCAUUGUUGGUGAUUGGGAAUAAAGGUCUGCGUUUGGGGAAGAACAGAAUGUCACAAGCAUGUCUGACUAUAGCUAUAGUUGCAGCACACUUUGGGUUUGCUUUCGUGCUGCUACAAUGCUAUCACAUUGUCAUGUGAACCCUCUGCUGACCCUUUGAUAUGAACCGCUUACAGCCCUGCAAAAUACCCUGCUUGCAAAGAAAUAUGUUUUUGGGUUUUGCUACAACAAAAUGCGUUGAAUGUUAUUAUGUUAUGUAAUGUUACCUCUGAUAUAUAUUUACUGUACCUGCAAACAGAGUUAUGCACGCAAGUUUGAACACAUGGAUUUAAAAACUAAUCUGAUUAAUAAUAAAGAA
Molecule: long non-coding RNA, 945 nt
Organism: Cyprinodon variegatus (sheepshead minnow)
Lineage: Eukaryota; Metazoa; Chordata; Actinopteri; Cyprinodontiformes; Cyprinodontidae
Exons: 3
Source: RefSeq, a predicted model, not a curated record